RNAcentral lists this ribosomal RNA (334 nucleotides) under uncultured bacterium. RNAcentral describes it as "bacterial SSU rRNA". It matches the Rfam family "Bacterial small subunit ribosomal RNA", at positions 18 to 344 of the family's 1533-position model. The record is from RNAcentral.
CAUGUCCAAGGACGAACGCUGGCGGCGUGCCUAAUACAUGCAAGUAGAACGCUGAAGGAGGAGCUUGCUCUUCUGGAUGAGUUGCGAACGGGUGAGUAACGCGUAGGUAACCUGCCUGGUAGCGGGGGAUAACUAUUGGAAACGAUAGCUAAUACCGCAUAAGAGUAGAUGUUGCAUGACAUUUGCUUAAAAGGUGCAAUUGCAUCACUACCAGAUGGACCUGCGUUGUAUUAGCUGGUUGGUGGGGUAACGGCUCACCAAGGGGACGAUACAUAGCCGACCUGAGAGGGUGCUCGGCCACACUGGGACUGAGACACGGCCCAGACUCCUGCGG